AUGAACGCUGGCGGCGUGCCUAAUACAUGCAAGUCGCGCGAACGGACGAGAAGCUUGCUUCUCUGAUGUUAGCGGCGGACGGGUGAGUAACACGUGGAUAACCUACCUAUAAGACUGGGAUAACUUCGGGAAACCGGAGCUAAUACCGGAUAAUAUUUUGAACCGCAUGGUUCAAAAGUGAAAGACGGUCUUGCUGUCACUUAUAGAUGGAUCCGCGCUGCAUUAGCUAGUUGGUAAGGUAACGGCUUACCAAGGCAACGAUGCAUAGCCGACCUGAGAGGGUGAUCGGCCACACUGGAACUGAGACACGGUCCAGACUCCUACGGGAGGCAGCAGUAGGGAAUCUUCCGCGAUGGGCGAAAGCCUGACGGAGCAACGCCGCGUGAGUGAUGAAGGUCUUCGGAUCGUAAAACUCUGUUAUUAGGGAAGAACAUAUGUGUAAGUAACUGUGCAUAUCUUGACGGUACCUAAUCAGAAAGCCACGGCUAACUACGUG
This 496-nucleotide ribosomal RNA is filed under the name uncultured bacterium. RNAcentral's name for it is "partial 16S ribosomal RNA". It matches the Rfam family "Bacterial small subunit ribosomal RNA", at positions 29 to 507 of the family's 1533-position model. The record is from RNAcentral.